CUCAGGCACGGCGACUGGCGAGCAGGGAACCAACCCUGGGGGAGCCCUGCCUGGCCGGGCACCACGCCCCGCCGCACGAGGUGUCGUCCGCCUGGGCACCCCGG
This 104-nucleotide non-coding RNA is filed under the name Streptomyces uncialis. RNAcentral describes it as "ZMP/ZTP riboswitch aptamer (pfl RNA motif)". It matches the Rfam family "ZMP/ZTP riboswitch aptamer (pfl RNA motif)". Rfam says of the family: Previously known as pfl RNA. ZMP is also known as AICAR. The record is from Rfam by way of RNAcentral. Lineage: Bacteria; Bacillati; Actinomycetota; Actinomycetes; Kitasatosporales; Streptomycetaceae.